RNAcentral lists this transfer RNA (72 nucleotides) under Capra hircus (goat). It matches the Rfam family "tRNA". Rfam says of the family: Transfer RNA (tRNA) molecules are approximately 80 nucleotides in length. Their secondary structure includes four short double-helical elements and three loops (D, anti-codon, and T loops). Further hydrogen bonds mediate the characteristic L-shaped molecular structure. tRNAs have two regions of fundamental functional importance: the anti-codon, which is responsible for specific mRNA codon recognition, and the 3' end, to which the tRNAs corresponding amino acid is attached (by aminoacyl-tRNA synthetases). tRNAs cope with the degeneracy of the genetic code in two manners: having more than one tRNA (with a specific anti-codon) for a particular amino acid; and 'wobble' base-pairing, i.e. permitting non-standard base-pairing at the 3rd anti-codon position. The record is from Rfam by way of RNAcentral. Lineage: Eukaryota; Metazoa; Chordata; Mammalia; Artiodactyla; Bovidae. RNAcentral also lists the same sequence under 1 other name.
UCCCUGAUGGCUCAGACGGUAGAGCGUCUGCCUGCAAUGCGGGAGACCCAGGUUUGAUCCCUGGGUCGGGAA